UCCCAGCGUGGGCACCACUUGCCUGAGUGUAGAGGCUGCCAGCAGUCGUACCUCAGGCUGCAUGGCACUUCUCUGCAUGUGCCUUCCUGUGGCUCAGUUUUCAUUUAAAGAUCCUGUCAUUAUGGACCACAGGAGUCCAGAGAGGUAGCCUGGCCAGUUACCUUGACAACCUCAUGAUGUCAUGCUGUAAACUUCUUCCUGGCUGCAGAUCUAAUGCGAUUCUCGAUACUGUCGGCUCCUCCCAGCCUGGAUGACAGCAGCUAAAGUGAGAGCUGACAGCUCACUUUUAAUGAUGCCCUUCGUGGCAUCUUUAGGGUAUAUUUGCAUUAGCAAUAGAAGGACGUGGACUCUCAUCUCCUAGCAGCAGGCAAGAGGAAGGAUAAGCAGGAAGACCCCACACGUGGUGACUCUCCAGUACAGACAUUGGAGCCAGCUUCAGUAAGCCCAAUGGACAGAGCCAGAGAAGGCGGAACUACAACCUCCUCCUGUAGGAUUUCUGUGAGCUGAAAUUGUGGAAGAUAGCUGUUAAGAUGCUUCCUAAUAAUUUCCACCUUCUGGUAUUUGCGCCCUGGGUGCUUUGUUCC
Cebus imitator (Panamanian white-faced capuchin) is the source of this 584-nucleotide long non-coding RNA. RefSeq lists it as uncharacterized. The transcript has 3 exons. Lineage: Eukaryota; Metazoa; Chordata; Mammalia; Primates; Cebidae. The record is from RefSeq and is a predicted model, not a curated record.